Molecule: ribosomal RNA, 1936 nt
Filed under: Myxobolus colossomatis
Lineage: Eukaryota; Metazoa; Cnidaria; Myxozoa; Bivalvulida; Myxobolidae
Description: SSU rRNA
Rfam family: Eukaryotic small subunit ribosomal RNA
Source: RNAcentral
UGUCAAUAGUGAGACUGCGGACGGCUCAGAAAUCAGUUAUAAUCCGUUCGAAAGUAAACCCAUUGGAUAACCGUGGGAAAUCUAGAGCUAAUACAUGUAGAGACAAUGUUUGUCGGCUUGCCGGCAGGCAUUAGCAUUUAUUAGAAAAAACCAACUGAUUGCAAAUGGUGGAAACGCUGUCUGCAAUCAAGGUGAAUCUAGAUAACUGAGCUAAUCGCAUAGCCUUGUGCUGGCGAUGUUUCGAUCGAAUUUCUGCCCUAUCAACUUGUUGGUAAGGUAGUGGCUUACCAAGGUUGCAACGGGUAACGGGGAAUCAGGGUUCGAUUCCGGAGAGGGAGCCUGAGAAACGGCUACCACAUCCAAGGAAGGCAGCAGGCGCGCAAAUUACCCAAUCCAGACAAUGGGAGGUGGUGACCAGAAGUACUGUGUGGUGGAUUUAUAUCUACCAAUCACGGAAUGAGCAUAAAGUAAAAAUUUAGUCGAGUAACAACUGGAGGGCAAGUCUGGUGCCAGCAGCCGCGGUAAUUCCAGCUCCAGUAGCAUGUCGUAAAGUUGUUGCGUUUAAAACGCUCGUAGUUGGAUUAUACAGUGACACAUGGUUAGUUCAUAUUGGUCCAACAAACUAACUGCUGCAAAUAUACGCACGCAGUUAAUUCUGUGUGUGUUGUUUGUAGUAGUGUCGGUCAAGUGAAUUUUUUGCCAUGUGUCACUAGUUGCGCGUAAGAAUGAUGAUUGGCCUUUAGUGCGUUGGUCAUUGUGUCUUACGGGAUGUGCCUUGAAAAAAUCAGAGUGCUUAAAGCAGGCUUGUGCCUGAAUGAUACAGCAUGGAACGAACAAUCGUGUAAAGUGCUCACAUGUUGUCUUGUAUGGUGUGCAUACCGUAACAAGUUUGUACGACAUGCAAACACAAUGUGUGAGUACAUCACCAACCGCCAUGUACGGAUGUUGGUUUCCGUAUUGGGGUGAUGAUUAAAACGAGCGGUUGGGGGCAUUGGUAUUUGGCCGCGAGAGGUGAAAUUCUUAGACCGGCCAAGGACUAACAAAAGCGAAGGCAUUUGCCAAGACCGUCUCGAUUAAUCAAGAACGAAAGUGAGCGGAUCGAAGACGAUCAGAUACCGUCCUAGUGCUCACCAUAAACUAUGCCAACCCGGGAUUAGCUUAGAGCAUUGCAAAGGCUCCAGGUUGGUCCCCCUGGGAAACCUCAAGUUUUUGGGUUACGGGGGGAGUAUGGUCGCAAGGCUGAAACUUAAAGGAAUUGACGGAAGGGCACCACCAGGGGUGGAGCCUGCGGCUUAAUUUGACUCAACACGGGAAAACUCACCCGGUCCUGACGUUAAAAGGAUAGACAGACCAAUAGAUCUUUCUUGAUAUGAUGUGUGGUGGUGCAUGGCCGUUCUUAGUUCGUGGAGCGAUUUGUCAGGUUAAUUCCGGUAACGGACGAGACCCAAAUCCACAUUUACGACACGCAAUAGCCUGCGAUAUGCAAGUACCGUAGGCUCUAGCCGGUGCAGAUAGUUGAUGGUACAUACUUGAUGCUAUUUGUAACGGCUAUUCUUGUGUGACGCUGUAUGCAGCAAUGUGUACAGUUGCAUGUGGAGACAACUGACUAUAAUAUAAAAUCAGAGGAGGUUGGGCAAUAACAGGUCUGUGAUGCCCUUAGAUGUUCGGGGCUGCACGCGCGCUACAAUGAUGACAGCAACGAGAUAUCUGGGCCGAAAGGCUUGGGAAAUCUGUGAAUUGUCAUCGUGAUGGGGAUUGUCCAUUGUAAUUUGGACAUGAAAUAGGAAUCCCUUGUACAUGCACUUCAUCUUAAAGUGCGUGGAAUGAGUCCCUGCCCUUUGUACACACCGCCCGUCGCUACUACCGAGUGAAUGGUGUCAUGAUGCGUUGGGACUGGACGUCGUAAGGUUUAUGCCUGACGAUGCUAGGAUCAAUG